GACGAACGCUGGCGGCGUGCCUAAUACAUGCAAGUAGAACGCUGAAGAGAGGAGCUUGCUCUUCUUGGAUGAGUUGCGAACGGGUGAGUAACGCGUAGGUAACCUGCCUUGUAGCGGGGGAUAACUAUUGGAAACGAUAGCUAAUACCGCAUAACAAUGGAUGACACAUGUCAUUUAUUUGAAAGGGGCAAUUGCUCCACUACAAGAUGGACCUGCGUUGUAUUAGCUAGUAGGUGAGGUAAUGGCUCACCUAGGCGACGAUACAUAGCCGACCUGAGAGGGUGGUCGGCCACACUGGGACUGAGAAACGGCCCAGACUCCUACGGGAGGCAGCAGUAGGGAAUCUUCGGCAAUGGGGGCAACCCUGACCGAGCAACGCCGCGUGAGUGAAGAAGGUUUUCGGAUCGUAAAGCUCUGUUGUAAGUCAAGAACGGGUGUGAGAGUGGAAAGUUCACACUGUGACGGUAGCUUACCAGAAAGGGACGGCUAACUACGUG
RNAcentral lists this ribosomal RNA (497 nucleotides) under uncultured bacterium. Its description in RNAcentral is "partial 16S ribosomal RNA". It matches the Rfam family "Bacterial small subunit ribosomal RNA", at positions 28 to 507 of the family's 1533-position model. The record is from RNAcentral.